Molecule: ribosomal RNA, 156 nt
Filed under: uncultured bacterium
Lineage: Bacteria
Description: partial 16S ribosomal RNA
Rfam family: Bacterial small subunit ribosomal RNA
Source: RNAcentral
CUAGUAAUCGCGGAUCAGAAUGCCGCGGUGAAUGCGUUCCCGGGUCUUGUACACACCGCCCGUCACACCAUGGAAGUUGGGGGCGCCCGAAGUUGCCUAAGAAAUAAGGUACCUAAGGCGAAACCAAUGACUGGGGUGAAGUCGUAACAAGGUAAC